ACGGAAGGCAGCAGUGAGGAAUAUUGGACAAUGGGGGCAACCCUGAUCCAGCCAAACCGCGUGAGGGAUGAAGGUCCUACGGAUCGUAAACCUCUUUUAUGUGGGAAUAAUUAGCGGAACGUGUUCCGCUUUGAAGGUACCACUUGAAUAAGCAUCGGCUAACUCCGUGCCAGCAGCCGCGGUAAUACGGAGGAUGCAGGCGUUAUCCGGAUUUAUUAGGUUUAAAGGGUGCGCAGGCGGGACAUUAAGUCGGUGGUGAAAUACCGUGGCCCAACCACGGGGCUGCCAUCGAUACUGAUGACCUUGAGUGCGUGUGACGUAGGCGGAAUGUGGAGUGUAGCGGUGAAAUGCUUAGAUAUGACGAAGAACUCCGAUUGCGAAGGCAGCUUGCUGGGCCGCAACUGACGCUGAAGCUCGAAGGUGCGGGUAUCGAACAGGAUUAGAUACCCUGGUA
Molecule: ribosomal RNA, 454 nt
Filed under: uncultured bacterium
Lineage: Bacteria
Description: partial 16S ribosomal RNA
Rfam family: Bacterial small subunit ribosomal RNA
Source: RNAcentral